The sequence is a transfer RNA, 98 nucleotides long. It matches the Rfam family "tRNA". From Rfam's summary of the family: Transfer RNA (tRNA) molecules are approximately 80 nucleotides in length. Their secondary structure includes four short double-helical elements and three loops (D, anti-codon, and T loops). The record is from Rfam.
GCAUCGGUGGUUUAGUGGUAAAAUUAGCCGUUGCCAUCCAUCUGUAGUCCAGAUCCGAAGACGUCGGCUAGCCCCGGGUUCGAUUCCCGGCCGAUGCA